RNAcentral lists this ribosomal RNA (303 nucleotides) under uncultured bacterium. Its description in RNAcentral is "partial 16S ribosomal RNA". It matches the Rfam family "Bacterial small subunit ribosomal RNA", at positions 507 to 807 of the family's 1533-position model. The record is from RNAcentral.
AGCAGUAGCCGCGGUAAUACGAGGGGGGCAAGCGUUGUUCGGAAUUAUUGGGCGUAAAGGGUGCGUAGGCGGCUUGACAAGUCUUGUGUGAAAUCUAUGGGCUCAACCCAUAGUCUGCACGGGAAACUGUCGGGCUUGAGAAUGGGAGAGGUGAGUGGAAUUUCCGGUGUAGCGGUGAAAUGCGUAGAUAUCGGAAGGAACACCUGUGGCGAAAGCGGCUCACUGGACCAUUACUGACGCUGAGGCGCGAAAGCUAGGGGAGCAAACAGGAUUAGAUACCCCGGUAGUCCCUGUCUCUUAUAC